UGGAAAACUAGGAAAAAUAUAUGUUUCUGCUUUUUAAUCAAAAUCAAAUCUUUAAAACUGGAGGACGUUUAUCAACAACCCAUACUUAAUACAUAUUCCAGCCUUUUUCAUCUCAAUUUAUGCAAUAGACAUUUUGGAUAAAUCCAUAUUUUUUUAGAUAUUCUCCAACAACAGAAUUCUGAAAUGAUUGAAUGGUUGGAAAUUACUCAAGAAAAACCACGCGUGAGCUACUGAUAAGGGUCUAGGCCGAUACGAAACCACGUUUUCCGUAGAGUUGGAGAGGGACCUAGUUCAACAUAUCAAAUUAUUGGAAUCUUGUUUAUUUGGUUUAUCAUGCGAUGAAGUUCGUUUCUUGGCGUAUCAACUGGCAGAAAGAAAUGGAAUUGCACACAGGUUCAACUCAACUACUAAAAUGGCUGGUUGGGAUUGGCUACGUGGAUUUAGGUCCAGAAACCCCGAUAUAUCUCUUAGAAAGCCUGAAGCUACUUCGGCCGAAAGAGCACAAUCCUUCAAUAAACCGCAAAUUGCUAAUUUUUUUAGAACUUUUCAAGAGACAAUUGAAAAAGAGCAUAUCAACCCCACGCGCAUUUGGAAUGUAGACGAAUCUGGCCUGUCUACUGUCCAAAAACCUAGCCGAAUACUUACUGCCAAAAGUCGAAAACAAGUUGGCUUAAUUUCAAGUGCUGAAAGGGGGCAACAUAUUACGGCUGUGGUUUGCAUGAGCGCAUCAGGAGCCUAUAUUCCCCCUUCUUUUUUCCCAGAAAAAACUGGAAAAAGGAACUGACCGACAAGGCUCCCUUAGGUACAUUGGGAAUAGCUCAGGAGACAAGCUGGAUGACGGGCGAGAUUUUUAUAAAAUGGAUGCAACAUUUUAGAGAAUAUUCUAAUCCUUCAAAGGCAAAUAAAGUGUUACUUCUGGUUGAUGGUCAUGCUAGCCAUAAAACUCUAGAUGUUCAAGAUUUGCUAAAGAAAAUGGAAUAGAAAUGAUAUGUUUCCCACCUCAUUGCACCCACCGGCUGCAACCUUUAGAUGUGUGCUUUUUUGGGCCAUUAAAAACAUUUUAUGAUCAAGAAGUUACAAAAUGGCUAAAAUGUCAUCCAGGCAAAACUGUUUCUUCAUAUCAGAUUGGCGGCUUAUUUGCUGCAGCGUAUGGAAAAGCAGCUACAAAUCAAAAUGCUGUAAGUGGGUUUAUGAAAACAGGAAUAUGGCCGCUAAACCCAGAUAUAUUUCCUGAUUAUCUGUUUAACCCUGCAAUGGUCGCAGAUAGAUAUCAAGAUGGUGAUACUCAAGUGGCUAACCAUUCAUUGAAUAUAAACAAUAUUUCAGUUAUUCGCCCACAAGACAUUUCCCCUCUUCCAAGUUCAUCCGGGAUACAAGCAAACCCAAGAAAGCGGAAGGCAGAAGUACGUAAGGCUGCCAUAGUAGCAUCCGAACACUUUGUCCCAAUGGACGAAAACUCUGAUAAUGAAAAGCCGUUUCAAGAUGAAGACGACGAAGAUGAUCCACCCUGCCUAUAUUGUAACAGUUUGUACUCUAUGUCCAAGUCCAAGGAAACAUGGGUUAGAUGUCAAUCGUGCUCGAAAUGGGCACAUUGUGAAUGUGCUGGUAUUUCUAAAACAAGCAAACAAUAUGUAUGUAAACUUUGUUAGUUUUAACUUGUAAUGACCUUAUGUACCUAUGUAAGUUUCUUAUGUUAUUUUACCCAAGUAUGCUCGGGUAAAAUGACACAUUUACAUAUUUCUUUUUAUAUUUUUUUCGCCAGGAUUAUUCAUUUAUUAA
Anthonomus grandis grandis is the source of this 1779-nucleotide long non-coding RNA. RefSeq lists it as uncharacterized. The transcript has 3 exons. The record is from RefSeq and is a predicted model, not a curated record. Lineage: Eukaryota; Metazoa; Arthropoda; Insecta; Coleoptera; Curculionidae.